Sycon ciliatum is the source of this 393-nucleotide long non-coding RNA. RefSeq lists it as uncharacterized. The record is from RefSeq and is a predicted model, not a curated record. The transcript has 2 exons. NCBI's taxonomy places the organism in Eukaryota, Metazoa, Porifera, Calcarea, Leucosolenida, Sycettidae.
UCGGGUCUCAGGGCAGCGCUUUUGGUCAGCUGCAGUACCCGCAACAUGUCACUACAGAUACCUAUGGCAAUGUACUAGUCACAGAUUAUGGCAAUGGACGUGUUAUGGUAUAUGCCACAGAAACUUACACACCACUGGCUGAGUUUGGAAAAGGAGAGCUGUACAAGCCGACAAGUGUCUGCGUGACAAGUGAGGGCUUAGUAGCUGUUUCCUCUUACCAGGAUCACAAGAUUUUCGUGUUUUGAAGGUUUCGGGUUAGACAUGUGUCAUCAGUCACCUGCUCACACUUUUGUAUACAUCAUAACAUAUACAUGUAUGACCAUAGCGUGACACCAACUGUUCUCGUAUCCCAUCCUACUCCUCUACCCCCCCCCCCCCCCCCACACACACACA